This is a long non-coding RNA of Dermacentor silvarum, 1172 nucleotides long. RefSeq lists it as uncharacterized. The record is from RefSeq and is a predicted model, not a curated record. The transcript has 2 exons. NCBI's taxonomy places the organism in Eukaryota, Metazoa, Arthropoda, Arachnida, Ixodida, Ixodidae.
CCCUCUCCUAUUUUGGUUUACCGAACUGCUCUCCAUCGUGCCUAUUUCCGCGGGGAACAGCUAACAGCUAUAGUGGCAUUUUAAUACUAGCAUUAAUGAGAGGUACGACGGCCAGUUAUUGCAGCCAUUGCACAACCCUAGUGAUAUCAUAAGCAUUAUGAGCAGAAACCUGUUAGAUAGCCUCGUGCGGUACCGAUCGCGGUACCGAUAAUUUAAAACGUAUGAAGAAACUACCGCAGUUUUCAUGGACGCAGGCAGCACCGUCGCUUCCACCGUUCCUUCCGACCAGUUUCUUCCGCUUAACUUCCUUCAAAUGGAAUUGACGUGCUGACACCUGGGUUGCUGCAAUGUGCCACGAGGGAUCCAGUGAGAACGCAAGAGAGGCUACCUUUUGCUGAUAUCAUGCCGCGAACGCCGGGCUGUGCAAUUCGCACGCGAAGUGGUUUCACUUCCAGGCUUAACAGAAAGCAUGGCUACGGUGUCAAACAGCACAUACUACCACUUUUGGAUGCCGGCAGUCGACGUUACAGCACCGCUCUCCCUCGUUGCUUCGAAUCGUUGCCGCAGCGCGUCGUCGUUGUAGUACGUAAUGAGGCUAUCUGCCCCUCGCUCGCUCGCGCGCAUCCUUUCAUGAAGAUGGCGACAUUACACUGAUGACAGUUCUCGCUUUGAGGACAAUCAGAGCGAGCAUUUCGUUUCCUUACAUCUCUGCGCCAUAUCGGAACCAUUGCGGUGUUUAAGAGUCUCAAUGUUCCAGCACGCUAGUGCCUGGCGCAGAAUUGGUGGCGAUAACUUUCGUUUCCUUCUGCUGCCAAGGACCACGGCUAGUUCAACAAACAAAACUAUCGCAAACGACCCCCGUGCCACUAAGUUCUGCAAGCAUUCAUCCGCUCUACCUCAGCAGGCAGUGACCGAAGCGCUAUGAAUCGAACAGGUCUCAGUGGGCUUAAGUGAAGGUGCCUAUCAUAAGAAAACGAAAGCCUAUCGUAAGGAAAUGCAAGCUUCUCUUUCGGAUAUUCGCCACUGCCCGCGACUUCACAUAUACCUUCUGCACAUUCAGGUCAUGCGACACCAUCCAGCCCAUCGUCGCGCACGGCUGCGGAUUAAAUUUUCCAAUAGGUGAAAACUACAGAGGCUGCGAAAGGAGAUGGCAGGGAUGCGUAUAGAAAAUA